This 497-nucleotide ribosomal RNA is filed under the name uncultured bacterium. RNAcentral describes it as "partial 16S ribosomal RNA". It matches the Rfam family "Bacterial small subunit ribosomal RNA", at positions 28 to 507 of the family's 1533-position model. The record is from RNAcentral.
GAUGAACGCUGGCGGCGUGCCUAAUACAUGCCAGUCGAGCGAACGGACGAGAAGCUUGCUUCUCUGAUGUUAGCGGCGGACGGGUGAGUAACACGUGGAUAACCUACCUAUAAGACUGGGAUAACUUCGGGAAACCGGAGCUAAUACCGGAUGAUAUCUUGAACCGCAUGGUUCAAAAGUGAAAGACGGUCUUGCUGUCACUUAUAGAUGGAUCCGCGCUGCAUUAGCUAGUUGGUAAGGUAACGGCUUACCAAGGCAACGAUGCAUAGCCGACCUGAGAGGGUGAUCGGCCACACUGGAACUGAGACACGGUCCAGACUCCUACGGGAGGCAGCAGUAGGGAAUCUUCCGCAAUGGGCGAAAGCCUGACGGAGCAACGCCGCGUGAGUGAUGAAGGUCUUCGGAUCGUAAAACUCUGUUAUUAGGGAAGAACAUAUGUGUAGGUAACUGUGCACAUCUUGACGGUACCUAAUCAGAAAGCCACGGCUAACUACGUG